UCCGCGGCAUGUGGGAUCUUCCCGGACCGGGGCACGAACCCGUGUCCCCUGCAUCGGCAGGCGGACUGUCAACCACUGCGCCACCAGGGAAGCCCCAGGCCACUUUUUUCUGAAGCAGCAUUUUCCUCGAAAGAAUGACUGCCUGACCAUGGCUGUUCGGGAUCAGAAUGAAAUAUGUCAACAUUUGGAAGAUCUUCGUUGCUCCAAGAGCUGAGUUUCCUACUGAUUAAGACAUCACGGUCCAAAAUCAUGCACAGGGAAAAGCAUGUUUCGUGGGAGGUUUCUACCGGCCCAGGAAGCGGUGAGUAGAGUCGUUAACUGAGAAUAAAGAAGCAGUAGUUCACAACGUUCUAAAAAGAGACACCAACAGUUAGGACCAGACACCUCAGCGUUCCCCCAAAUGGCAGGACUGACCCUGUGGCCCACAACCUGCGCCACAGCCCAGUCUCCUGGUCCCAGCCCACCCACUGGUGAGGAGUCCAGCGGGGCGGGUGUCAGCUGGCUUCCUUGGGCCUCAUUUGCAGUGAGAGCUGAUCCCACCUUCCCUGCUGCAGAGGAUAGGAUGCUUUCUUUCCACUUCAGGAAAUCGGUGAGUUGGAUUCUUCCUGUGAAUGGGACGGGAGCUUCCUGAGAAUCACCGGUCAAGCACGAGGGUCGCUGCAAGCCAAGGCCCUGGCGUCCCAUCCUGGCUUAGACUUGCGCUCGGACAGUGGCUGGUUGGCCGAGCCCUGUGCCCAGCUGAGUUGAAGGGCCUUGUGGUGGCCAGCAGGACUCAGAGAAGGAUAACGGAAAAGUGCCCAUCACUUCCUCCGUUGAGUGUGGCGAGGAAACUGAAUUUCUCCCGUUAGUCAAGUCAACAUCAAAGAAGGGAAAUGGUCGGGUAUGAGCCUUCUUCCUGCCCCCGCAGUGGGAUGCUGCUGGUCGGGGGUGGGGGGACACCUCAUAUGCAUAGAGGAGUCCAGAGUCGGACAUUUGGACGCCUUCUCCACGGAGGUGAGACAACCUAAGCGACCACCUGGAAACAGAGAAGAAGGAGGGAAGGAAGGUGUCCCAGUGGGACCCACAGCCAUGCCGUCCUGUGCUGGUGGGAGCUAGAGAGAAGAGGGGAGAGUCUGUUUCUUCAUAGUCAGGGGAAAAGCUUAACUUCUGAGAACAGUCUCCAAGGGACAAAACAGAAAACAACCCAAGGAAGGGCUGUGCUUCCAGAAAUGGGGAAGUGGUUCCCACAAGCCCAGCCUUGCCUUAUAGAAUGAUCACCUUUCAACAAAACAUAAAACAACAACUGCCUGGAACCUCUGGAGAGAGACCAAAGGUGCAGAAACUAAAGGGAACCAGGUGCCCGGAAAAGGACGGACAGAUGGAGGAUGGACAGAUGGGCCGAGAGCCAGGUGUUCACGCAGGAUCUGGGUACUGAGCGUGGAAGAAGAAGGGAGAUAAAGAUUUGAGGCUAUUUACUUUGUCUCCCCACAUAAGCUAUCCUGUUGAGAUGGACAUCUCCAGAGAGAUGAGUUCAGAGGAAAACCUUGGUGACAGGAAGUGGUGACCCUACCAAACCUGGCCAAAAUGUUGAAUGAAGAAUGUGAAAAAGUCAGCUGAAGGGAGGGUUGAACAAAGUGGGCAAUUGUCGAAAAGUGAUUUACACGAUGUGGACGACUAGAGGAAGUUAAGAAUCAUUUGAACAAAUCAAGUUUGUGUAGAGUUCUCUCGGUCUCAACUUCUCAUCCCUGACGAUGAAAAACGUUACUUUCCUCCUGGUAUAAGGAGCACAUCUUUCAUAGAGGAAUUUAAUUUCCUGCUUUUAAGAGAAUGCAGAAAGACGGAAUCUUCAGCCAGUCUGUCGGAACAGCCUAGUCGGGACUCGUUCAGUCGCCUGCCUGGUCCGCCCCCUGCCAUCCUGGCCCCUAAAGGAAGGCGACCUUGACACAACCAAUCUGCUUUUCGCUGGUGUAACUUUCUUGACGGCUCCCUUCUGCCUGUAGUUCCAUUUUAUACAGCCCCGCAGAGCUCCUUUCUAGCUGCUGGACUCGAUGCUGCUGAUUCGUGAAUCACAGAAUAAAGUCAGUAAGAUUGAAAUUUACUCACUGAACUUGCUUUUUUACACCCCAAAAUUAUUUUUUUAAACUGCCACUAUUUGGUAGACUCAAAAGAGGGCGCCUCAUUGUCAGAGUGAGUUUAGAAAGAGGGGCAGGAAACCUUUCAGAACGCUUACGCCAGUAGCUGCCCACAACUGCCAUCUCCCAGCCGGGGGGCUUCCUCGAAAAGGCACGGGGCUCAUUUCUGGAUGCGUAAGUUCACAUGCAAUAGAUUUCUACCACGUUAUGUCAAUUUUAUUGAAUUUUCAUCUGCUUCCCUAACCACCUUUGGGGGUAAUAAAAGGAAGAGGGACCCAAGAAAGGUACAGCCAGGGAUGCUCCUCAGAUGCAUCUAGUAAUGUUGCCAUGCAUGCUCCUUAGUAUUAAGGAAUUGGAACAGAAUUUCCCCCUCAAGCAGUUUUUUUGAACUAAUCAGGGAGAGAAAUAAGACAAACUCUGAAAUAAAACUGCAUAAACGGCAAAUGAAAACCAUACCAGAAAAAUCCAGGCAAUAUUUUUCUAGUGUUUAAUUGAUCUCAAGGAAGGAAAAAGUCCAGAUUCACAAAAACCUACGUGUAUUGUUUUAUUAUAUACAAAACCAAGCAUACAAUAAUUACACAGCAAAUAACAUGCUGAAUAUUUUCAGGCCAUUUUGAAUGGUGCUCUGUACAUGUACAUGAAUAAGUAAUAAAUGCUGCUUCUCUAUUACCUUGAAAUACGGUACCACCAAGAGUUUUAUAUUUUUAUUUUACUACUCAUGUAAAUGAGCACAAAGGAAAGAGGAAAUAGAUAAUAUUUAAACAUGGAAGGUAGAAAUUCUUCCUUCUGGAAACUAACCAAAUAGGCCUAAGAACCACUACUAAUCAAUGAUAUCCUCUCCCCCAUCUUUUCUGUCAUAGCCACCAAUCCCACCCUAUUCCAGUUAAGUUACAAACCUUCAGCCAGUUUAGUCAUUAAAGAUUUGAGAAGCAGUCUCAACCUAAACAAUUGUAGCUAAUACUGAUAUAUUUUUGUAAUUCAUUUUUGUACUGUUUUUACAACUUUUCCCCCUGAUCCUAAGUUUGAAGCAGUUCUUCUUACAUUCUCUAAACUUUGGGGUGUUUUUUUUUCUACCAUUUAUUUUAUUUUAUUGGAUAAUUUUAAUCGGUUUAAAUGCAACAUGUAUGUAAACAACUCCACAGAAAUGAGAGGCACUUCUUAGAAAUACAAUGGCUCAUGUCACAAGAUUCAAUGGCUUCGAUUUGAUGCACUGAAUGAGCUCCUGACUCAACUCUCCAAUGUUGUCUGCUUGAAUGGCAAGGUCUUUAUCUGCAGCGUUUACUGCAUUAAGAUGCGUGCAUCAGAAAUCAUAAACUUGUGCUUAUCUUUCAUAAUGAACCUAUAUUCAUUAGGAGCUCUGAUCCAAUCACAAUAAUGUUGGUUAAAAUAAACUACGAACCCGAGGCAAAAAAGUAAACAAGCCACUUUUUCAGGCUUUUAAAACUGUCUUAACAUGUGACAUUAUAGCUAUCCCCCCAAAUUAAGCAACCAACUUCAAGUCAAAGAGCUAGGAACACAUGGAACAUUCGAGGCGUUACCUCAGCAUUUCUCAAUCAGCUCAGACAUACACGAGGCCGGGAAAGGUCUCUGAGGGUACCUGCACAGGUGCAUUACUGGUAGAGGCGGCAGCUCAGCAUAAACCCUGUGGGAUUAAUAUCAGGCGUAUAUAUGUGUAUAUAGAUGUGUGUAAAUAUAUGUAACGUGCUUACAGAGAUUUAUCGACCCGGAAUACUUCAUAAAGAGCUGCAUAAAAAUCUAGCAGAGAGGGCUUCCCUGGUGGCGCAGUGGU
Delphinapterus leucas (beluga whale) is the source of this 3900-nucleotide non-coding RNA. NCBI's taxonomy places the organism in Eukaryota, Metazoa, Chordata, Mammalia, Artiodactyla, Monodontidae. The record is from RefSeq and is a predicted model, not a curated record.